RNAcentral lists this long non-coding RNA (231 nucleotides) under Elaeis guineensis (African oil palm). Its description in RNAcentral is "long non-coding RNA (EGUI_LNC029490)". The record is from RNAcentral. Lineage: Eukaryota; Viridiplantae; Streptophyta; Magnoliopsida; Arecales; Arecaceae.
GGCUAUGCCUGAGGAUGCACCUCAAGCCAAUAUCGAGGUGGGCUCCUCAUCCCAUUCUAAACCUUUUGGGUCUCGACACUCGGAGACCCUAAGCUUUGAAAGUUUUUUUGUACUAAGAAAUAAGGAGUCUAACAUUACCGAGCUCGACCUAGAAAGGUUUCAGGCUCAAUUCUAUAUUCUAAGUCAGUAUUGAAGGAACCAGAUCUAGGGUUUCAUGGUUAGAUCUUAAAA